Molecule: ribosomal RNA, 513 nt
Filed under: uncultured bacterium
Lineage: Bacteria
Description: partial 16S ribosomal RNA
Rfam family: Bacterial small subunit ribosomal RNA
Source: RNAcentral
GACGAACGCUGGCGGCGUGCCUAAUACAUGCAAGUUGAGCGCUGAAGGUUGGUACUUGUACCGACUGGAUGAGCAGCGAACGGGUGAGUAACGCGUGGGGAAUCUGCCUUUGAGCGGGGGACAACAUUUGGAAACGAAUGCUAAUACCGCAUAACAACUUUAAACACAAGUUUUAAGUUUGAAAGAUGCAAUUGCAUCACUCAAAGAUGAUCCCGCGUUGUAUUAGCUAGUUGGUGAGGUAAAGGCUCACCAAGGCGAUGAUACAUAGCCGACCGGAGGGGGUGAUCGGCCACAUUGGGACUGAAACACGGCCCAAACUCCUACGGGAGGCAGCAGUAGGGAAUCUUCGGCAAUGGACGAAAGUCUGACCGAGCAACGCCGCGUGAGUGAAGAAGGUUUUCGGAUCGUAAAACUCUGUUGGUAGAGAAGAACGUUGGUGAGAGUGGAAAGCUCAUCAAGUGACGGUAACUACCCAGAAAGGGACGGCUAACUACGUGCCAGCCGCCGCCGUAA